RNAcentral lists this ribosomal RNA (418 nucleotides) under uncultured bacterium. RNAcentral describes it as "bacterial SSU rRNA". It matches the Rfam family "Bacterial small subunit ribosomal RNA", at positions 355 to 787 of the family's 1533-position model. The record is from RNAcentral.
UGGGGAAUAUUGGGCAAUGGGCGCAAGCCUGACCCAGCAACGCCGCGUGAAGGAAGAAGGCUUUCGGGUUGUAAACUUCUUUUCUCAGGGACGAAGCAAGUGACGGUACCUGAGGAAUAAGCCACGGCUAACUACGUGCCAGCAGCCGCGGUAAUACGUAGGUGGCAAGCGUUAUCCGGAUUUACUGGGUGUAAAGGGCGUGUAGGCGGGAAAGCAAGUCAGAUGUGAAAACCAUGGGCUCAACCUGUGGCCUGCAUUUGAAACUGUUUUCUUGGAGUACUGGAGAGGCAGACGGAAUUCCUAGUGUAGCGGUGAAAUGCGUAGAUAUUAGGAGGAACACCAGUGGCGAAGGCGGUCUGCUGGACAGCAACUGACGCUGAGGCGCGAAAGCGUGGGGAGCAAACAGGAUUAGAUACCC